UACGUAGGUGACCAGCGUUGUCCGGAUUUACUGGGCGUAAAGAGCGCGCAGGCGGUCGUUCAAGUCGAGUGUGAAAGCCCCCGGCUCAACUGGGGAGGGUCAUUCGAUACUGAUCGACUGGAAGGCAGGAGAGGGAAGCGGAAUUCCCGGUGUAGUGGUGAAAUGCGUAGAUAUCUGGAGGAAUACCGGUGGCGAAGGCGGCAUCCUGGACCGGCAUUGACGCUGAGGAGCGAAAGCCAGGGGAGCAAACGGG
RNAcentral lists this ribosomal RNA (253 nucleotides) under uncultured bacterium. RNAcentral's name for it is "partial 16S ribosomal RNA". It matches the Rfam family "Bacterial small subunit ribosomal RNA", at positions 524 to 776 of the family's 1533-position model. The record is from RNAcentral.